Molecule: ribosomal RNA, 34 nt
Filed under: Bacteroides thetaiotaomicron VPI-5482
Lineage: Bacteria; Pseudomonadati; Bacteroidota; Bacteroidia; Bacteroidales; Bacteroidaceae
Source: RNAcentral
CACCUCUUCCCAUUCCGAACAGAGAAGUUAAGCC